Molecule: ribosomal RNA, 500 nt
Filed under: uncultured bacterium
Lineage: Bacteria
Description: bacterial LSU rRNA
Rfam family: Bacterial large subunit ribosomal RNA
Source: RNAcentral
AUACUGAAUACAUAGGUAUGGGAGGCGAACCCGGUGAACUGAAACAUCUAAGUAGCCGGAGGAAAAUAAAUCAACCGAGAUUCCCCAAGUAGUGGCGAGCGAACGGGGAGCAGCCUGCUAGUGAUAGCAGCUUUGUUAGCAGAACGGAAUGGAAAGUCCGGCCGUAGUGGGUGAUAGCCCCGUAUGCGAAAACAUCGCUGUGGUACUAAGUUAGCAAAAAGUAGGGCGGGGCACGUGAAACCUUGUCUGAACAUGGGGGGACCAUCCUCCAAGGCUAAAUACUCGUGAUCGACCGAUAGUGAACCAGUACCGUGAGGGAAAGGCGAAAAGAACCCCGGGAGGGGAGUGAAAUAGAACCUGAAACCGCAUGCAUACAAACAGUGGGAGCCUCCUUGUGGGGUGACUGCGUACCUUUUGUAUAAUGGUCAGCGACUUACGUUGUGUUGCGAGCUUAACCGAUAGGGGAGGCGUAGCGAAAGCGAGUCUGAUAAGGGCGUUUA